This 270-nucleotide ribosomal RNA is filed under the name uncultured archaeon. Its description in RNAcentral is "partial 16S ribosomal RNA". It matches the Rfam family "Archaeal small subunit ribosomal RNA", at positions 477 to 747 of the family's 1478-position model. The record is from RNAcentral.
CAGCACCUCAAGUGGUCAGGAUGAUUAUUGGGCCUAAAGCAUCCGUAGCCGGCUCUGCAAGUUUUCGGUUAAAUCUGUACGCUCAACGUACAGGCUGCCGGGAAUACUGCAGAGCUAGGGAGUGGGAGAGGUAGACGGUACUCGGUAGGAAGGGGUAAAAUCCUUUGAUCUAUUGAUGACCACCUGUGGCGAAGGCGGUCUACCAGAACACGUCCGACGGUGAGGGAUGAAAGCUGGGGGAGCAAACCGGAUUAGAUACCCGAGUAGUCC